Molecule: non-coding RNA, 219 nt
Filed under: Novibacillus thermophilus
Lineage: Bacteria; Bacillati; Bacillota; Bacilli; Caryophanales; Thermoactinomycetaceae
Description: T-box sequence
Rfam family: T-box leader
About the family: Uncharged tRNA acts as the effector for transcription antitermination of genes in the T-box leader family. T-boxes are found upstream of many aminoacyl-tRNA synthetase genes and some amino acid biosynthetic genes usually in Gram-positive bacteria.
Source: RNAcentral
GAAAAUGCGUCGAACGGAUGGAAGUACUGCGGGAUUCAGCCGCGUGAAGAGAGCCGGCGGAAGCUGGGAAGCCGGUCCGGCCCCCGCGGGAACUGGGAUUCGGGAGCAUUCCUUUCCCGUGUGUGACACAGGAGAGGGACGGCGGACGCCGUUAUGAGUGAGGGCGUUUCCAACGAAACGAACGAGGGUGGUACCGCGAGCAACUUUCUCGUCCCUUGG